Molecule: ribosomal RNA, 409 nt
Filed under: uncultured Glomus
Lineage: Eukaryota; Fungi; Glomeromycota; Glomeromycetes; Glomerales; Glomeraceae
Description: SSU rRNA
Rfam family: Eukaryotic small subunit ribosomal RNA
Source: RNAcentral
GCAGGCUAACGCUUGAAUACAUUAGCAUGGAAUAAUGAAAUAGGACAUCGCAUUCUAUUUUGUUGGUUUCUAGGAUCGAUGUAAUGAUUAAUAGGGAUAGUUGGGGGCAUUAGUAUUCAAUUGUCAGAGGUGAAAUUCUUGGAUUUAUUGAAGACUAACUACUGCGAAAGCAUUUGCCAAGGAUGUUUUCAUUAAUCAAGAACGAAAGUUAGGGGAUCGAAGACGAUCAGAUACCGUCGUAGUCUUAACCAUAAACUAUGCCGACUAGGGAUCGGAUGAUGUUGAUUUUUUAAUGACUCAUUCGGCACCUUACGGGAAACCAAAGUGUUUGGGUUCCGGGGGGAGUAUGGUCGCAAGGCUGAAACUUAAAGGAAUUGACGGAAGGGCACCACCAGGCGUGGAGCCUGCG